CUCUUAUCCAGAGAGGUGGAGGGACUGGCCCUAUGAUACCUCGGCAACCGAUUGAUCAGGUGCUAAUUCCAGCAAAGCAGAUAGUGGGCUUUGGAAGAUAAGAG
RNAcentral lists this non-coding RNA (104 nucleotides) under Tumebacillus flagellatus. RNAcentral describes it as "SAM-I sequence". It matches the Rfam family "SAM riboswitch aptamer (S box leader)". From Rfam's summary of the family: The SAM riboswitch is found upstream of a number of genes which code for proteins involved in methionine or cysteine biosynthesis in Gram-positive bacteria. Lineage: Bacteria; Bacillati; Bacillota; Bacilli; Caryophanales; Alicyclobacillaceae. The record is from Rfam by way of RNAcentral.